AUUAUGGUUUUAUUUUUUCCCCCCAUCUAUUUCCUGGGAUCAAAAUAAAGCUUGUGAAAGUUCAUUCUGUCACAGGUGGAAUAUCUCAUGCUAGUGUGAACACAACUGUUAAUUGGUCAAAAGUUUAACACAAAUGUUGUUUUUGCAGAAUACAAAUUUUGUGAUGCUAUAAAUAAUUGUCCUUACUAAAUCAAGAAACCUAUGGGCAGAAAGUUAUUUGAAGUGGGUAUGGCAUACACCUAAUUCAUAACUGCAUUCAACAAGUGGCUAUAUCCUAACAAACUGCAAUUGCUACGUCUACAGAUUCUCUUGCAAACAGAAAAACUGAACUAUGAAAUUUUUGUGAUCAAGUGUUUUUGUGAAUACAAAAAACACUGCGGCAUUGUUACUGCUAAUAAUUGUCCCUUUGAGGGCUAUGGUGGGUUGAAUGAUGGCCUCCAAAAUAUGUCCACCUGAAACCUGGGAACAUGACCUUCUCUGGGAAAAGGGUCUUUGAGAUGUAAUUAAGUUCCCUGGUGGCUCAGCAAUAAAGAAUCCACCUGCAAUGCAAGAGACACAGGUUCGAUCCCUGGGUCAGGAAGGUCCCCUGGAGGAGGGAUUGACAACCCACUCCAGUAUUCUUGCCUGGAGAAUCCUAUGGACAGAGAAGCCUGGCGGGCUACAGUCCAUGGGGUCACAAAGAGUCGGACACAACCAAAGCAGCUAAGCACACAGGCAUGCGAAAGUGACCACAAUCUCCCAGGAGCUACUGACACCCACAGAGUGAAAAUCCUGUUGAUUAAAACCUGAUGACAGGGGGCAAGGAAGGAACUGUUUUGCUGACCACCCUAAAUUUUUAACAAAAAGCUAAAGAUUACGGACAAAAGAGCUUUAAACACACACCAUUCUCAAAAGACAAUGGUGGGUCCUAAAACAGUGUAGCACAGUCCCAAACCUAAGUCACAUGGAUCCACAGAGAGAGAACCUGAUGCCAUCAGAGACUACAGAAGCUCAAUGUCCAAGAAGAUGCCAGCAGAUGGCCAGGAAACUAGCUACAGAUUCCAGGGCCCUACCCCCAGAGUCUAUCUGAAUAGAUACCUGUUGAGCAUCUACACUAUGAAUGACUCUGCUACAAGCUACAGGGGGACCAAAAAACCCCAUCAUACCAGGCCAUGGUCUAUUGAGAAGAUGGGACCCACAUAUACAGAUUUCCGCGAGACCUGGAUUCUAGUCUAAACUAAAGGAGGAACUGGAUGUACUGACUGUGGGCAAGUCACAGAAAUUCUCUGCUCCUUGGAUUCCUCACAUCAGGAACACUUCCUCAACUAGGAAGCACAGGAUGAAGCAGCUGGAAUCAUUUACAAACCACAGGAAAGAGUGAAGGACAUAUCAAGAGAAUAUCGAUCGGGCAAAGGUGCUCACAAAAGAAAGCCACAGAACUGGUGUUUUCAAGCAGGAAACGGUGAUAAAAGAUACAGAAAGACAGAGUGUGACAAACUCAGGCCCUGUAUCUGAAAAUGAUGAGGGGCUGUUUAUAUUUCUAGGAGGUCAGACAAUAAACUAGGCAAGAAAAAGGUGAACCCCUCCAAACUCUGAGAGCAAAUGAGAGAAACCUUUAACAUAAAUUAGUGUUUUUCAAAUAUCCUUGCGUGCAUACGCAACAUAUCACACAAUUUCUGGAAUAAAAUUGAAACUGAAAUAAAAAUAAAAUUUUACACGUGACAACAUUUAAAAUUGUUAUUGCUUCCAAACAGAUACUACAAUGUGUGGCAAUGAAGUAACUCACUGGUGUUUAUCUGCCUUUUCAGUAGAAUUUAAAUUGGGCGGAAUUUCACAGAAAUAAAGAUUCAGUAACUUUUUCUGGGGAUUAGAAGAAGAAAAGGUUGGGAAAAGCGCCCUGAGCUUUGUUGUGGGAAAGGCGAUCUGACUCAUUUUUAAUUUUCCAUUAAAGCCCUACUUUUCAGUAUAAAGCAGAUGGAAUCCUUAUACAACUCCAUGAAAAGCCUACUAUUUUUGGGUACCUCAAAGAUGGAAGCUCUGAAGAAAAUGAAAGUGUUUGACUGCAUCAGAUGAAAUCCCACCAGCACAUUCAAAAGGAGCAGGUACUUAGAAAUCUUAAAAACACAAGGUAAGAGAUCUUUCUGUGGCGUAUUUCUGAUCCCCAGCCUCCCCUGGGCUCACUUCCCUCUGCCUCUGAUGGAUGAUUUUUCUACCUCUUCAGCAGCCAGCUCCCACCACUGUGGCUCAGAGUCACUCUGCUUCUUUGUUCCUCAUCUUUCAGAAGCUGCCUCCCUGAUGGGUUCCAUCCUCGGGGCCAUUCUCAUAUAUAGAAUGUCAGGGUUAACCCUGCUCACCCCAUACCUACUGAGCCAGAACCGGGCCUGGGACUACGCAUUCUCUAAGACCCUCCGAGAACAGUCAUGCAACCACAGGCCCAAAACCCUUUCCUUAUCAUGAGAUAAGCCCUGGGUUGACGUUUCCUGUUUGUUUCCCUGCCAGGGUGGAUGGAAGAAAGAAGAGGGCCUAUCUUUACUGUGUAUGAGCUGUGAAGUACUGGGCUAGGAGGUGGUGAGCACUCAUUGGAGAGAUGGAACAAAUUCAUCAUUAAGAGCAUUGGUUCUGGAUCAGACUGACUGCCCGGGUUCAGAGCCCAGCUCUGCUUACUAGUUGUGUGACCCUGACCAAAUCACCACACCUCCAGGCCUCAGUUUCCCUAUCUGUUAAAUGGGAAUAACAACAGUUCAUCAUGAAAUCGUGCUGGGUGUUGAGCUGGCAAGUCAACCACGAAUAAAACAGUCUGACUUCCAAAGAGCUCCCAAGUCAGGAAAAAAGGCCAGUAUCUUCCUACUGUCCAACCCAGCUGACCCAUUCUGCUUUAGAAGUCAGGCUGUGACAAGGGUGAAGACAAGCUGGUAACCAAGCACCACGGAGCCCCAAAAUAGGACCAACAGAGGCUUCCCGGAAGCUGAAAGCAGAUUACAGUGGAGCACCAAGGCAUGGUGGAAUUUGGAGCCCAGAAUCACUGCAUGGAGGAAACUCACCCACUGAUCAGAAAUACCCAUUUUGAACUAUUACAUGAGGAAUAAUAAACAUCUAUUACUUUUGAGUCAUUAUAUUUUUGCAGGCCUAUUUGUUAUAGCUGCUAAUAUUAGGCUAAUUAAGCCAGGUGCUUAGCACAUACCAAAGACCUAACACAUUUGUUGAAACAAGACCAGGUUCCUUCUUUCAAUGUGUUGAUAAACUAAUGAUGGAAAUAGACACUUGCCAACCAUAAUGCCAGCUGCUGAAGUGUGAAAACAAAAUUGGAGGCAUGGUGAUUUGCUUGAAGGGGAAAGGAGGAGAAAGCAUCCCAGAGUAGAAGACUUUUGAGCUGGGCCUUAGGUUGAACAGAACCCAAGCAAAUCAGAUGGGGUUAGGAGAUUCCAGACCCAGGAGAAAGCAGAGAAUAAAAGUACAGAAAGCAGAACAUGCAUUUGUUCACAUUCAACCUCAUCACUCUCUUGAACUCGGUCAACAGAGUGUGAGCUUAUUGUGCACUGACUUUCUUUCCUGGCUUUGGCAUCAAACAACGCUUUGUUUUGUUUUUAACACUACCCUCAAUAACCCUUUUGCUUUUUUUAAAAUAUAAAAAGUUCCAAGAUGAAUGUCCUUAGAAAGUGCAGAAGUAAAUGUUUAAUGAACCAUAACAAUUCUUCUCUAAUAAAAUUCUUGAAGAACUUGAGACGGUUCUAUUACUUGUAACAGUCAAAGAGCCAUGCUCUUAGGAAUCAAUGGGUUCGACCUAAGUUUUGACAUUAUUGAUGAAGCAUGUAACAGUCACUGGCUUACAGAAUGGAACAUUAAGCCCCCAGGUUUACAUUUACAUUUCCUUUUCAAGAGGAACAUCAAGCAGAUGGUUUAAGAGAUCAGGCAAAAGAUUCUCUACAUCCUUCGCUCAUAGCUAAGUGCCUCCAACACCUGAGACAGUUAACAAAACCACUUCCUCCAAAAAUCUGACAGUCCCUCCGUCUGAAAGCACAGGACCCGAGGGGCAGAGGGGCAGGGACUUGGGAGAAAGAGCACAAAGGGUGGAAAGUGUGGCAGUGGCUUAGUAGUGAGAGGAAGGAUGUGGGCGUCUGAAGGCUGCCCUGAAGCAGGGAAGAGAGACACAGUGCCCAGUGGUCUUCCAAAUACCAACUUAAUGCUGUGUUAGCAAUGUCCCCAGGAGCUUGUUUAAAUACAAGGGUGAAACAACAAUCACGGGGCGGACAAGACUUCAUUUCAAAUGACUUCAGUCCUCCUUAGACUUGAGAGAAGCAAGUUAGGCUGCCUCACUCCUAGCAAACAUCAAUAUAACUCUCUUUGGGAAAUAAAAUUCUUCCUCUCCCACACCCAUGUAUCCUACCCCCUACCAUGAAAGGGAGUUAAAACUGGGCAGGGGAGGGUGCUACCCUGAGAGUAAAGCAACUCUUCGGACAGCUGAGAUCAAUUCCCCCUUAAAUCUAAGAAGUACUGCAGGCGCCAGACAACACUACUGGUCCAUGAAUACAGCAAAACGCCAGCACCUGCCACCCUGCAUCUGGGGCCUUUUAUUUUUUGGUAAAUGUGGCAGGAAAGACUCUCAGAGAGAGGAUCAACUGCUUUAUCUGAGCAAAAGGGGAGCCCCAGGGAAAAGAAACAAGAAGCAUCGCGCCCAUCCUUGGGCACUUUGUGCGUCUCCUCUCUGUGCACUGAAAGGGCUCUUUGUGUCACACACGCACACACACACACAC
Molecule: long non-coding RNA, 4730 nt
Organism: Dama dama (fallow deer)
Lineage: Eukaryota; Metazoa; Chordata; Mammalia; Artiodactyla; Cervidae
Exons: 5
Source: RefSeq, a predicted model, not a curated record